RNAcentral lists this ribosomal RNA (433 nucleotides) under uncultured bacterium. Its description in RNAcentral is "partial 16S ribosomal RNA". It matches the Rfam family "Bacterial small subunit ribosomal RNA", at positions 29 to 507 of the family's 1533-position model. The record is from RNAcentral.
AACGAACGCUGGCGGCAUGCCUAACACAUGCAAGUCGAACGAGACCUUCGGGUCUAGUGGCGCACGGGUGCGUAACGCGUGGGAACCUGCCCUUAGGUUCGGAAUAACUCCCCGAAAGGGGUGCUAAUACCGGAUAAUGUCUUCGGACCAAAGAUUUAUCGCCUUUGGAUGGGCCCGCGUUGGAUUAGCUAGUUGGUAGGGUAAAAGCCUACCAAGGCGACGAUCCAUAGCUGGUCUGAGAGGAUGAUCAGCCACACUGGGACUGAGACACGGCCCAGACUCCUACGGGAGGCAGCAGUGGAGAAUAUUGGACAAUGGGCGAAAGCCUGAUCCAGCAAUGCCGCGUGAGUGAUGAAGGCCUUAGGGUUGUAAAGCUCUUUUACCCGGGAUGAUAAUGACAGUACCGGGAGAAUAAGCUCCGGCCAACUCCGUG